This 1343-nucleotide ribosomal RNA is filed under the name uncultured bacterium. RNAcentral describes it as "16S ribosomal RNA". It matches the Rfam family "Bacterial small subunit ribosomal RNA", at positions 28 to 1378 of the family's 1533-position model. The record is from RNAcentral.
GACGAACGCUGGCGGCGUGCUUAACACAUGCAAGUCGAACGGAAAGGCCCUGCUUUUGUGGGGUGCUCGAGUGGCGAACGGGUGAGUAACACGUGAGUAACCUGCCCUUGACUUUGGGAUAACUUCAGGAAACUGGGGCUAAUACCGGAUAGGAGCUCCUGCUGCAUGGUGGGGGUUGGAAAGUUUCGGCGGUUGGGGAUGGACUCGCGGCUUAUCAGCUUGUUGGUGGGGUAGUGGCUUACCAAGGCUUUGACGGGUAGCCGGCCUGAGAGGGUGACCGGCCACAUUGGGACUGAGAUACGGCCCAGACUCCUACGGGAGGCAGCAGUGGGGAAUAUUGCACAAUGGGCGGAAGCCUGAUGCAGCAACGCCGCGUGCGGGAUGACGGCCUUCGGGUUGUAAACCGCUUUCGCCUGUGACGAAGCGUGAGUGACGGUAAUGGGUAAAGAAGCACCGGCUAACUACGUGCCAGCAGCCGCGGUGAUACGUAGGGUGCGAGCGUUGUCCGGAUUUAUUGGGCGUAAAGGGCUCGUAGGUGGUUGAUCGCGUCGGAAGUGUAAUCUUGGGGCUUAACCCUGAGCGUGCUUUCGAUACGGGUUGACUUGAGGAAGGUAGGGGAGAAUGGAAUUCCUGGUGGAGCGGUGGAAUGCGCAGAUAUCAGGAGGAACACCAGUGGCGAAGGCGGUUCUCUGGGCCUUUCCUGACGCUGAGGAGCGAAAGCGUGGGGAGCGAACAGGCUUAGAUACCCUGGUAGUCCACGCUGUAAACGGUGGGUACUAGGUGUGGGGUCCAUUCCACGGGUUCCGUGCCGUAGCUGACGCUUUAAGUACCCCGCCUGGGGAGUACGGCCGCAAGGCUAAAACUCAAAGGAAUUGACGGGGCCCCGCACAAGCGGCGGAGCAUGCGGAUUAAUUCGAUGCAACGCGUAGAACCUUACCUGGGUUUGACAUGGAUCGGGAGCGCUCAGAGAUGGGUGUGCCUCUUUUGGGGUCGGUUCACAGGUGGUGCAUGGCUGUCGUCAGCUCGUGUCGUGAGAUGUUGGGUUAAGUCCCGCAACGAGCGCAACCCUUGUUCACUGUUGCCAGCACGUUAUGGUGGGGACUCAGUGGAGACCGCCGGGGUCAACUCGGAGGAAGGUGGGGGUGACGUCAAGUCAUCAUGCCCCUUAUGUCCAGGGCUUCACGCAUGCUACAAUGGCUGGUACAGAGAGUGGCGAGCCUGUGAGGGUGAGCGAAUCUCGGAAAGCCGGUCUCAGUUCGGAUUGGGGUCUGCAACUCGACCUCAUGAAGUCGGAGUCGCUAGUAAUCGCAGAUCAGCAACGCUGCGGUGAAUACGUUCCCGGG